RNAcentral lists this long non-coding RNA (1964 nucleotides) under Equus caballus (horse). Its description in RNAcentral is "lncRNA (ENSECAG00000052857.1)". The record is from RNAcentral. Lineage: Eukaryota; Metazoa; Chordata; Mammalia; Perissodactyla; Equidae.
ACACGAUUGCUUUUGAAAUGGUUCAACAAAGUGAUGUCUCUUCUGUUUAAAGAACAGGAAACAACAACAACAACAAAGCCAGUGAAAAACAAAUGUCAGGGUAUUCCUAUCCACAGGAUGACUCUGAUUUCCAAGUUUGUCUUCAUUAACGUUCUAGUCCACUUUCAUCGGUCCCCAUCCUCUCCUGGUGAGCUUUUUCCCACUCCCAUUCCCAAAUACCAUCACAGAGACAUACAUUGAAACCUCCCCGUUAUUUCUCUUACCUUGAUCUGCCUUGCUCUGACUUACAACUUGAUCGUAUUCCUUUCUCUCUCUCAUCAAAGUAUGUUUGUCCUGAUUCUCUCCAGAGUCAGCAUUUGACAUAGUAAUAAUAAUGUUACUAAGUACAUGUCUAGAUGCUCUACUUGUAUAAAUCCAUUUAUGCUCAAAACAACCCUCAGGUAGUUGCUAUUCUUGUGCUUGUUUACAGAUGGAGGAAUGGGAGGCACAGUGUUGAUAAGCGUGUUGUUUACGUCUCACAGCUGGCAAGUGGUGGAGUCAGGAUUCAGGCUCAGGUGAUCUGGCCCCAGAGCCCACACUAUUCACGUCUGCUUUUCUCAGGCUCUCAUAGAGGGGAGAACAGCAGUGUCAGGUCAGAUAGACAUGGGUUUGAAUGCAGAUCCUGACGUUUCACUGGCUGUUUGACCUUGGGCAAAUAGGUAACUUCUCUGAGCAUUAGUUUCCUCAACAGUGAAAUAGGGAUAUUUAUGUGAAGAAAACUGAGAUAACCCCCAUAAAAGUUCAUGACCCUAUAGAUGCUUGGGCAAGUUUAAAGUUUAGCUAACCCAUUCUCUCCCUCUGUUCUCUCCUCAACUACAUAAUUUAGCUGAUUUCUGUAUGCUGAUGGGGAAAGUGGUUUAAUAGGCUGCCUCUCUCUUGAGGUAGCUUCAGGCAUUGUGAUUUUUCAAAUUGGCAGACUUUUCAAUGCUUCAAUCCACCUAGGCGAGGACUCCAUCUUCUCUGAAGUUGUGCCAAGUCACAUGUGCUUGGGGGGACUUGUUUUUAAUCUAGAACUUUGAUAUUUCACUUUACACGUGCUCGUUGAUGUGAUCUUCAGGAAAUGUUUGGAAUGAAGAAAUGAAGGGGAGCAGCACCCACCUGCAUCUGGGGAAAGAGUCACCCUGAGCUAACAUCUGUUGCCAAUCUUCCUCUUUUUUUUUCUCCCCAAAGCCCCAGUGCACAGUUGUAGAUCCUAAUUGUAAGUCCUUCUAGUUCUUCUAGGUGAGCCACCACCACAGCAUGGCAACUGACAGUUGGGUGGUGUGGUUCCAUGACCGGGAAACGAACCCAGGCCGCCAAAGUGGUGAGAGUGCCAAACUUUAACCAGCAGGCCAUCAGGGCUGGCUCGGUAGAUCUAUUUUUAAUGUUUUGAAGAAUCUCCACCAUUUUGCAUUUCCACCAACAGUGUUCUAAUUUCCCCACAUCCUUGCCAACACUCUGUAUCUUAUGUUUUUGUUUUUGUUUUUAUAAUACCCAUCCUAAAAGAUGUGAGGUGAUCUUAUUGUGGUUUUGAUUUGCACCUCUCUGAUGAUUAGUGACACUGAACAUCUUUUCAUAUACCUGUUGGCCAUUUUAUAUAUUUGAAAAUUAACUCCCUAUUUGAUGUAAAGUUUGCAAAUAUUUUCUCCCACUCUGUAGGGUUCACUCUCUUGUUUCCUUUUCCUCACUCUAGUUUUUGCUAUUGUUGUUGUUAUUUGUUUGCUUGUUUUUGUUUUUGUUUUUUUUAGGAUGAUUAACCCUGAGCUAACAUCUGCUGCCAAUCCUCCUCUUUUUGCUGAGGAAGACUGGUCCUCAGCUAGCAUCCGUGCCCAUCUUUCUCUACUUUGUAUGUGGGAUGCCUACCACAGCAUGGCUUUCUAAGCAGUGCCAUGUCUGCACCCGGGAUCCGAGCCUGCAAACCCAGGGCCGCUGAAGCGGAACAUACA